Molecule: ribosomal RNA, 273 nt
Filed under: uncultured zygomycete
Lineage: Eukaryota; Fungi
Description: partial 18S ribosomal RNA
Rfam family: Eukaryotic small subunit ribosomal RNA
Source: RNAcentral
UUGGAGGGCAAGUCUGGUGCCAGCAGCCGCGGUAAUUCCAGCUCCAAUAGCGUAUAUUAAAGUUGUUGCAGUUAAAAAGCUCGUAGUUGAAUUUUAGGCCUGGUUGGACGGUCUGCUCUAGGGUUUGUACUGUCCUGACUGGGUCUUACCUUCUGGUGAGCUGUCGUAUUGUUUACUCAGUGCGGCAGGGAACCAGGACUUUUACUUUGAAAAAAUUAGAGUGUUUAAAGCAGGCAUUCGCUUGAAUACAUUAGCAUGGAAUAAUAGAAUAGG